Molecule: ribosomal RNA, 433 nt
Filed under: Streptococcus mitis
Lineage: Bacteria; Bacillati; Bacillota; Bacilli; Lactobacillales; Streptococcaceae
Description: bacterial SSU rRNA
Rfam family: Bacterial small subunit ribosomal RNA
Source: RNAcentral
GACGAACGCUGGCGGCGUGCCUAAUACAUGCAAGUAGAACGCUGAAGGAGGAGCUUGCUUCUCCGGAUGAGUUGCGAACGGGUGAGUAACGCGUAGGUAACCUGCCUGGUAGCGGGGGAUAACUAUUGGAAACGAUAGCUAAUACCGCAUAAGAGUAGAUGUUGCAUGACAUUUGCUUAAAAGGUGCAAUUGCAUCACUACCAGAUGGACCUGCGUUGUAUUAGCUAGUUGGUGGGGUAACGGCUCACCAAGGCGACGAUACAUAGCCGACCUGAGAGGGUGAUCGGCCACACUGGGACUGAGACACGGCCCAGACUCCUACGGGAGGCAGCAGUAGGGAAUCUUCGGCAAUGGACGGAAGUCUGACCCGAGCAAACGCCCGCGUGAGUGAAAGAAAGGGUUUUUCGGAUUCGUAAAAGCUUCUGUUGUAAAG